UGGGGAAUAUUGGACAAUGGGGGCAACCCUGAUCCAGCGAUGCCGCGUGAGUGAAGAAGGCCUUCGGGUCGUAAAGCUCUUUAGGUUGGGAAGAAGGAUGUGUGGUGAAUAUCCAUGCAUUUUGACGGUACCGACAGAAUAAGCACCGGCAAACUCUGUGCCAGCAGCCGCGGUAAUACAGAGGGUGCGAGCGUUAAUCGGAAUUACUGGGCGUAAAGGGCGCGUAGGCGGUUAGUUAAGUGUGAUGUGAAAGCCCCGGGCUUAACCUGGGAAGAGCAUCGCAAACUGGCUGACUGGAGUAUAUGAGAGGGUGGCGGAAUUUCCGGUGUAGCGGUGAAAUGCGUAGAGAUCGGAAGGAACGUCGAUGGCGAAGGCAGCCACCUGGCAUAAUACUGACGCUGAUGCGCGAAAGCGUGGGGAGCGAACAGGAUUAGAUACCCCCGUAGUCC
RNAcentral lists this ribosomal RNA (449 nucleotides) under uncultured bacterium. RNAcentral's name for it is "bacterial SSU rRNA". It matches the Rfam family "Bacterial small subunit ribosomal RNA", at positions 355 to 796 of the family's 1533-position model. The record is from RNAcentral.